CCGCCAUGUUUAUGGUACUUUGAUUUGUCAGUGAUGGGAAACAUACAGAAGUGGAAUCAUCAUCAUUAUCAUCAUCAUCUCUACAAGAGAGAAGUUUCCCCGGACUCCAGAGUUGGUCUGCUAGACUGGAGGACAUGCACACACACACUACAAUUCCAGGGAGAAACUAUUUAGCAGAAUGGUUGGCCUCUUCAACAAAUGUGAAGACAGGUACAGACAACAUCCUCCUGGAAGCAAGAAAAAUGCUUACGCUCGAAGUCUGAAUUCCACCAUUUGAAAUGCAUGUCUUUGGAUUAUGAAGAAAAUGUAUGGGUUUUCCAGCAUUCCCCCACCGCCCCCCAGUGAAUAUGCCUUAGGAGUCCAACUCCUGAUUUUAACUCAGGUCAUGAUCUCGUGGUUCCUGGGAUUGAACCCUGAAUCUGUGUUGACAAUAAGGAGCAUUCAUGGGAUUUUCUCUCUCUACCCCUCCCCCGCUGGC
Molecule: long non-coding RNA, 478 nt
Organism: Hyaena hyaena (striped hyena)
Lineage: Eukaryota; Metazoa; Chordata; Mammalia; Carnivora; Hyaenidae
Exons: 3
Source: RefSeq, a predicted model, not a curated record